Molecule: long non-coding RNA, 394 nt
Organism: Peromyscus leucopus (white-footed mouse)
Lineage: Eukaryota; Metazoa; Chordata; Mammalia; Rodentia; Cricetidae
Exons: 3
Source: RefSeq, a predicted model, not a curated record
UUGACUGUGGGCGGGGCCACAUGAAUGGAGAAGGGGAAGACAGCAGCAGCCACACGCAUUGCCCUCUUCUGACUGAUGAUGCAAUGUGAUCAACCGCUUCUCAGACCUAAUGCCUUGACUUCCCUGCCGUAAUGAACUGCACCCUGAACGGAUCUCUCACUGAACCAGGAGCUCACCUAUUCAACUAGCCAGUUUGCCCUAUCUCUGUCUCUGCUUGAAUCCCACUUGAAUGCUGGGAUUACAGGUGGACCACCAUGCCUGGAACCACAGCCCUCACGUUGGCCUUGCACGCAUGUCAUCCAAGUAGCCGGUCCUCAGCUUCUGCACUGGCUUCUUAUAUUGAUGCUGAGAAGAAGGAGAGAACUGACUUUAAAAAGUUGUCUGUUGGGGCUGG